RNAcentral lists this ribosomal RNA (253 nucleotides) under uncultured bacterium. RNAcentral describes it as "partial 16S ribosomal RNA". It matches the Rfam family "Bacterial small subunit ribosomal RNA", at positions 524 to 776 of the family's 1533-position model. The record is from RNAcentral.
UACGUAGGGACCGAGCGUUGUCCGGAUUCAUUGGGCGUAAAGAGCUCGUAGGCGGCCACUCAAGUCGAAUGUGAAAGCUCGAGGCUUAACCUCGAGCCUGCAUUUGAUACUGGGCGGCUAGAGUCUGGUAGGGGGAUCUGGAAUUCCUGGUGUAGCGGUGGAAUGCGCAGAUAUCAGGAGGAACACCGGUGGCGAAGGCGGGAUCCUGGGCCAGUACUGACGCUGAGGAGCGAAAGCGUGGGGAGCAAACAGG